UAUAGUCAUUAAAAAAUAUUAGAUGUAUAAAUAUAUAUGUUAUUUUAAUAUAUGCUAAUGCUUAAUUCAUGAAUGAUAAUUAUCCUAUAUAUCAUAUAUAAGUGAUAAAAGAUUUAACAUUAGAACUUGGCAAAACUUUGUCAAAGGUCCUACAUAACCGAAGUAAAUAGAAUGGUGCACAUUUUUAUCUAUUUCUAACCAAAAUUCAUCCCAUCUUUCCCCCUUUUUUCCAUCUAAUGAUCUAAACAAUGCAUCAGUUUCUCUUCCCCCGUCCUUUCUUCGAAUCAAAUACUAACUCUCCCCCUUCUCUGUGCUGCUCCCUUCCGCUGCUCUUUGGUUGUUGCACGUUGUUCGUCGCUCCUGGGGAGUGGGGUGCUCCUGCCAUUGUAUAGUCUGGGUACUCGUUCAUUCUUUAUAUUUAGAAUGCAUUACGCUUGUUGCAGUCUGGAGGGCCUUCUUUCAUGCACUCUGGUGUGUGGCGUGUGUCUAAUCUAAUUAAUACUUUUCCUUGAAGCUCACUCUUUUCUGGAUCUAUUAACUUCUAACGCAUGCACAAUUGCACAUGUUAUGGAAUAUGGAUGUUCCUUGAAACUCAAAUUAUCUGACCACUAGAUAAAGAUUACUGAGUAGACCGACAGGCAGCCAAGGCUCUCUAUUGCUCACCUUCCCAACUUAGGUUAUUUCUUCCUGGAUUGAACUUGUUAUUACUGAUUUUGUGUUCUUCUUCCCACUGUUGAUUCUAACCACAGAGAGCUUAUAUUGCCUGACCUAAACUUUUUUUUUUUUGGAAAAUGUGGGAUACUAUUAUCUCCAAAAAAAGCUUGAUACAACCUAAGGCUAAACAAGCACACUCCUGUAAACACCAAGGGGAGCCCAAAAGCAAUAAAGAUUGGCCACGACGGCAUCCAAUAGGGAGUAAAACGCAAAGAAAGGCAAAACGGACCACUGCUGUCCAUUGCUAUACAUAGCAGCAGGACAGAAGGCCACAGACGGCAGAGACUCUACUUCAGCACUACUCUAUAAAUCUUCCUGUAAUGGGUUCAUGCAGCCUGCUGGUGCUUCUGUUGUAUCAAAUUGUACUUCAGAUUGAGUAUUCUUGUCAACCUCGAGCAUUUGUGGCCUGGGUGUCUUGUGAUUAGAUUGUGAUGCCAUCGAUACGGCAAUCAUCUGCUGUUUGGAAGCAGCCUCGUAUUCCAAAUUUUGCUUGUACAGGUACCCUGCAGUCAGCUGAUAGCUCUAUGCAAGAACCUCAACUUCGAGAUAUAGAUUGCUUCCAUUUCUUGGUGCUGAUCCAUUUCAAAAUGAGCUAAUGAGACUAAAAGAAGAGGUAGAAGUUGUUUAGAUUCACAAUGUUAAGACGAAACAUGAAAUGGAAAUUCAGGAGGCUAACAAGAAAUAUGAUUUCUUGCUUAGAGAGUCCGAGGGUUCAUUGACACAGAUGAAACUAGAAUUGGUGUUACAUUUUAAUAAAGCUCAUGCAAACAAGUUAUUGAUUGAUACUCUGAACUUUGAUGUCCAUAAUUCAGAAGCAGAGGUCAUUUUUGAUGUUACAAGGAGCACAUACAUAUACGUGGGUGGUAGACUCCGGUCUCCUUGGGGCAACCCUCGCAACAGUGUCCCAUACAAUUGCAUGUUCGAAAUUGCUAUGUAAAAGAUGAUAUAUUGAAUGCAAUCCUACGUUUCUUUCUUCGCAGUAGUUCAACUUCCCUGCCCAUGGGAUAUUGGUGGCAAGUGCUGAAGCCGCAGCAUAACCCUUUCAGGUCCACCAUCUAUAUCAACUUGUACUUAUAGAUAUAAAAUCAUGUUAAUAAACCAACUUAACUAACAGCUUAAAUAAAUAGUUGGUGGCCCAAAAUGUGUUAUAUGUAUGCCUCCUCACACGAUAGCCUAUUAGGCUAGAAGUGUAGAAAGACUUAAAGUGCGGGUAAAACACAAAACUUACUAGUAAAAUUAUUGAGUCAAAUCAAAGUCUUUUUGUCAUACUGGCGUUUGAUACCAUGUCAAAGGAUCAUCCCAACAAUCCAACCAAAAGCUUUACUUAUCGGACCAGGGAAGUCUACUACAUUACAUACGGCAUGAAUACUUCGAAUCAUCUUGGCUCUUGCUUAUUACCACGCAAGGUUUUCAGCCUCACACCUGUCCACCUGGGUCAGUCACUUUUGUGUCUACAUCAAAUGGCUUAGCUUCAAUGUAUCAGCAGAGGUUGUUGUUUGGCCAGAUGAAUCAUUGUCCAGCUCCCAUCAGCUGGAGAUUCUGCAUGACUCUUCACAUCAGCUUGAUUACACGAUGCAAUAUCUUCUUCUACUUCUGCUUGGCAGUAUGUAACAAGGGAAAUCUAAGCUUGAAAGUUGUAUCUGCCUAUUAAUAGGAUUUUUAAUCAAAUGAUUAUUUGUACUCGAGGGUUUGAGGGUUAAUAAUAUAUGUGGGUUGAUGACGAGAGUAUAAGAAUCACCUUUUGUUUUAAUGUUGAAUUUCCCAUACAAGUAUUAAAUAAAACAUUUUCUACUUG
This is a long non-coding RNA of Amaranthus tricolor (Joseph's coat), 2509 nucleotides long. RefSeq lists it as uncharacterized. NCBI's taxonomy places the organism in Eukaryota, Viridiplantae, Streptophyta, Magnoliopsida, Caryophyllales, Amaranthaceae. The record is from RefSeq and is a predicted model, not a curated record. The transcript is spliced from 6 exons.